GAAAUGCGAUAAGUAAUGUGAAUUGCAGAAUUCAGCGAAUCAUCGAAUUUUUGAACGCACAUUGCGCCUCAGGGUAUUCCUUGAGGCAUACCUGUUCGAGCGUCGUUUAGACCAUAAGGCUUUGCCUUGCGUUGACUGGUGGAUUUGCGUUAGCAUCCAGCAGUCUAAACAUGUUGGCGUCGUAGUUUGACCAAGACACACACAAGUGAGACUGGUUUUGACGAAAUGACAGCCUUGAACUAUCUGUCUCCUCUUUUGGAGAUGUAGGUUCGACCUCGGAUCAGGUAAGACUACCCGCUGAACUUAA
This 307-nucleotide unclassified non-coding RNA is filed under the name uncultured Helotiales. Its description in RNAcentral is "sequence contains ITS1". The stretch from base 1 to 105 matches the Rfam family "5.8S ribosomal RNA", at positions 50 to 154 of the family's 154-position model. The record is from RNAcentral. Lineage: Eukaryota; Fungi; Ascomycota; Leotiomycetes; Helotiales.